AUUUGACAUUGUGUUUUAUUGACAAUUAGUAACAUUUAAUAAUUGACAUUUAAUAAUAGAUACAUUAUUUUAAAUAAAAUAAUAUCGACAUCUAGCAAAUUCGGAAGCAGUAAAAACUUGCCUUAAAAUACGCGCAUCUCCAACACAUCCGUCAUAGAUAUUGCAAAUUUCAAGGAAUAAAUUAUAACGACGGACACACGCUGUGCACAUGUACUCGUAGAUUAACACGAGUGCAAUAGAAUUCCAUACGCGAAAAAUAUUCACCGUCGGCCGACGGAACCUCACACGCGCACAGAUGAACUAAUAAACUUUUAACGCGUGGUAUCACACUAGCGAAACCCCGUUUACGCUCGAUACCAAUAUAUGCCGUCGUUUGUUUAUGAAAUAUAAACUGAUUUACUUAAUUACAAUUUGAAAGAAGGAAAAUGGUCGCGAUAAACCCGCGCUAUCCCGUCCGUGGUCGGAAUAAAACUGCACACAGUCGACGGCCACAACACGCGGUCGCUAUCAGUAUUGCGAUACAAUCGCAGAACAGAACCAAAAAAAUUGUUUACAUACAAGCACUGACGCUGCUAUGCGAAUAUUUAAACUAUGACUGGGCAGCAGUGCCAGACAAAGUCGGAAUGCCGUUCAAAAGUGCACAUUUCCCACCACUGGACGGACUUCGAAUGAAAUCUAUUCGAUUAGACAACUUUUCUUUUAUAGUCAGAACUAAAAUCGAGCGAAAGAAACACGAGG
This is a long non-coding RNA of Dalotia coriaria, 738 nucleotides long. RefSeq lists it as uncharacterized. Lineage: Eukaryota; Metazoa; Arthropoda; Insecta; Coleoptera; Staphylinidae. The record is from RefSeq and is a predicted model, not a curated record. The transcript is spliced from 3 exons.